GGUUCCAUAGUGUAGUGGUUAGUACAUCUGCUUUACACACAGAAGACCCUGGGUUCGUUCCCCCAGUGGAGCCA
This 74-nucleotide transfer RNA is filed under the name Pteropus alecto (black flying fox). It matches the Rfam family "tRNA". From Rfam's summary of the family: Transfer RNA (tRNA) molecules are approximately 80 nucleotides in length. Their secondary structure includes four short double-helical elements and three loops (D, anti-codon, and T loops). Further hydrogen bonds mediate the characteristic L-shaped molecular structure. tRNAs have two regions of fundamental functional importance: the anti-codon, which is responsible for specific mRNA codon recognition, and the 3' end, to which the tRNAs corresponding amino acid is attached (by aminoacyl-tRNA synthetases). tRNAs cope with the degeneracy of the genetic code in two manners: having more than one tRNA (with a specific anti-codon) for a particular amino acid; and 'wobble' base-pairing, i.e. permitting non-standard base-pairing at the 3rd anti-codon position. The record is from Rfam by way of RNAcentral. Lineage: Eukaryota; Metazoa; Chordata; Mammalia; Chiroptera; Pteropodidae.